RNAcentral lists this ribosomal RNA (1839 nucleotides) under Aethina tumida (small hive beetle). RNAcentral describes it as "eukaryotic LSU rRNA". The stretch from base 244 to 1839 matches the Rfam family "Eukaryotic large subunit ribosomal RNA", at positions 1 to 1715 of the family's 3401-position model. The record is from RNAcentral. Lineage: Eukaryota; Metazoa; Arthropoda; Insecta; Coleoptera; Nitidulidae.
ACUUUCAACAACGGAUCUCUUGGUUCUCGCAUCGAUGAAGAACGCAGCGAAAUGCGAUACGUAAUACGAAUCGCAGCUCUCGGAAUCAUCGAAUCUUUGAACGCACAUUGCACCAUUGGGUAUUCCCAAUGGUAUGCUUGUUUGAGCGAAUACUUCCCUAAUCCUCACGGAUUGUAUUGUGUUUGCACGAAAAUAAUGACGACAGUACUCUACAAAACGGUACCGUCAGUACGCUCAUUUUUUUUCCCUCAAAUCAAGUAGGACUACCCGCUGAACUUAAGCAUAUCAAUAAGCGGAGGAAAAGAAACCAACAGGGAUUGCCUCAGUAACGGCGAGUGAAGCGGCAAAAGCUCAAAUUUGAAAUCCCCCCGGGGAGUUGUAAUUUGAAGAUUGCGUCUUGGAGGCGACCGUGUCUAUGUUCCUUGGAACAGGACGUCACAGAGGGUGAGAAUCCCGUGCGGCACGGCCCCCGGCUCCUUAUAAGGCGCUCUCGACGAGUCGAGUUGUUUGGGAAUGCAGCUCAAAGUGGGUGGUAAAUUCCAUCUAAAGCUAAAUACAGGCGAGAGACCGAUAGCGAACAAGUACAGUGAUGGAAAGAUGAAAAGCACUUUGAAAAGAGAGUGAAACAGCACGUGAAAUUGUUGAAAGGGAAGGGCAUGCCGUCAGAUUGUCAGUGUGGGUAAGAAGCGGGGUACAAAGACUGUGGAACGUGGCCCUCGGGUGUUAUAGCCGCAGUUCAUGCCCCGUCUCUUUCCGAGGCCUGCUUUGAGGACACCGACGUAAUGACGGUACGCCGCCCGUCUUGAAACACGGACCAAGGAGUCUAACGUCUAUGCGAGUGUGUUGGGUGUCAAACCCAAACGCGUAAUGAAAGUGAACGUAGAUGAGUUUCAUCAUCGACCGAUCCUGAAGUGUUCGGAUGGAUUUGAGUAAGAGCAUAGCUGUUGGGACCCGAAAGAUGGUGAACUAUGCCUGAAUAGGGUGAAGCCAGAGGAAACUCUGGUGGAGGCUCGUAGCGGUUCUGACGUGCAAAUCGAUCGUCGAAUUUGGGUAUAGGGGGCGAAAGACUAAUCGAACCAUCUAGUAGCUGGUUCCUGCCGAAGUUUCCCUCAGGAUAGCAGAAGCUCGUAUCAGUUUUAUGAGGUAAAGCGAAUGAUUAGAGGUAUUGGGGUCGAAAUGACCUCAACCUAUUCUCAAACUUUAAAUAUGUAAGAAGUCCUUGUUGCUUAAUUGAACGUGGACAGUUUGAAUGAAGAGCUUUUAGUGGGCCAUUUUUGGUAAGCAGAACUGGCGAUGCGGGAUGAACCGAACGCAAAGUUAAAGUGCCGGAAUACACGCUCAUCAGACACCACAAAAGGUGUUAGUUCAUCUAGACAGCCGGACGGUGGCCAUGGAAGUCGGAAUCCGCUAAGGAGUGUGUAACAACUCACCGGCCGAAUGAACUAGCCCUGAAAAUGGAUGGCGCUCAAGCGUGUUACUUAUACUUUGCCGCCAGGGUGUAUUUCGAUGCCCUGGCGAGUAGGCAGGCGUGGGGGUUGUGACGAAAGCCUUGGCAGUGAAUGCUGGGUCGAACGCCCUAGUGCAGAUCUUGGUGGUAGUAGCAAAUAUUCAAAUGGGAACUUUGAAGACUGAAGUGGGGAAAGGUUCCAUGUGAACAGCAGUUGGACAUGGGUUAGUCGAUCCUAAGAGUGGGGAAGUUCUUGCAACGGCCAAUUUCGGGCCCCAUCAAAGGGACCGGUUAACAUCCGGAUGUAUGUGUGUCUGACGGCAACGUAACAGAAUGUGGAGACGUCGGCGUGAAUCCCAAAAGGAGUUUUCUUUUCUUUUUAACCGUAAACC